Long non-coding RNA from Gallus gallus (chicken), 1175 nucleotides. RefSeq lists it as uncharacterized. The record is from RefSeq and is a predicted model, not a curated record. The transcript is spliced from 3 exons. NCBI's taxonomy places the organism in Eukaryota, Metazoa, Chordata, Aves, Galliformes, Phasianidae.
CCCUUCUUCCUUUGGCUCUCCUCCCGGUUGCUUGUCCCGACCGCACUCAUCACCUCAGCACUACUGUAAGGCCUGCAGCUUUCAGCAACAAAUGUGAUAGAGCACUGUGGUGAGCAGAUUGACAAGAGCGGACAAGUACUGUCUGUGUGUAAAUGAUGCAGAUCCAAUUGGGAUGUUACCUCCAGCUCUGACAUUUAGAACAAUGUCUCAGAAAUUGCCUGAGCUGAAGUUCAAGUACGUGGAUGAGGAGCAGCCCGAGGAGUUCUUCAUCCCCUAUGUCUGGUCCCUUGUGUGCAAUGUGGCUGUGAUGCUCUACUUGAAACCAUGUGACAUCCAGCUCUUCACCAUGGACUCUGGUUGAAGGAAGUCAAACCAAAACCACACCACAUGCAAAUCUGUGACCCCUUCCAGUGCGUACUCUAAGAUCCCCCCACUUGCUGCCCACAUACAGCCCAACAUCCAUAUUUCAGAACGUCACAGACACACACCAACACCAUGGGGUGAGGAACUUGGAUGCAGCCUUGUAUUUAUUGUCCUAUAACUGGAGCAUAGUCUUAUGGCAAAGGUAACAACUACCCCAGGGUGCUGUGCUUUAAAACAUUGUGAGAAAUCAGACCUAGGCUGACAGGUGGGGAUGGGAUGGGGGAACCCCACAGCAUGUCGUGACAUGAUGUGUUGCUCUGCCUGUUACUCAAUGCAACCUGCUGGGAGAAAAAAGUAUAUAUAAUAAAGAAAUAGAUAGAACUGUGUUUUUUGUUUUUUGGUGUUUUUUUUUUUUUUUUUUUUUUCCAAGAAGUCUCCCCUGGAAAACCUGUCUCAGCCUUGGAGUCACUUAGAGGGCUUUUGAGCUAAUUCACAUGUGUUUGCUAGGAAGCUGUGGGUCACUUUACCCAAAUGACACCUGCUCAUUAUAUUACUUCCAUUAUGAUAUUUGUGCCCACGAAUGAGAGUGUUAUCGCUUUCCUUAACAGCGGCCACUGUUAAAUAUGGAAAUAUAAGGUUGAUCCAAAUAGAAGAGAGAAAAGUGACAAUCAUACAUUUAAACAAAUUACCACCCUCAACAACACAAAGCAUAGUACUAUUGCAACCAAAAUGCAAAAUGUAACAGCACACAAUAUCAACUUGCCACAGACACCACCCUGGGUACACUGAGAUAAAGCAAAUUAGUAACGACU